This 253-nucleotide ribosomal RNA is filed under the name uncultured bacterium. Its description in RNAcentral is "partial 16S ribosomal RNA". It matches the Rfam family "Bacterial small subunit ribosomal RNA", at positions 524 to 776 of the family's 1533-position model. The record is from RNAcentral.
UACGAAGGGGGCGAGCGUUGUUCGGAAUUACUGGGCGUAAAGCGCGUGUAGGCGGUCUCGCAAGUCGGAUGUGAAAGCCCAGGGCUCAACCCUGGAAGUGCACUCGAUACUGCGAGGCUAGAGUCCCGGAGAGGAUGGUGGAACUCUCGGUGUAGAGGUGAAAUUCGUAGAUAUCGAGAAGAACACCGGUGGCGAAGGCGGCCAUCUGGACGGUGACUGACGCUGAGACGCGAAAGCGUGGGGAGCAAACAGG